RNAcentral lists this ribosomal RNA (495 nucleotides) under uncultured bacterium. Its description in RNAcentral is "partial 16S ribosomal RNA". It matches the Rfam family "Bacterial small subunit ribosomal RNA", at positions 28 to 507 of the family's 1533-position model. The record is from RNAcentral.
GACGAACGCUGGCGGCGUGCCUAAUACAUGCAAGUCGAACGCUGAAGGAGGAGCUUGCUCUUCUGGAUGAGUUGCGAACGGGUGAGUAACGCGUAGGUAACCUGCCUGGUAGCGGGGGAUAACUAUUGGAAACGAUAGCUAAUACCGCAUAACAGUAGAUGUUGCAUGACAUUUGCUUAAAAGGUGCAAUUGCACCACUACCAGAUGGACCUGCGUUGUAUUAGCUAGUUGGUGGGGUAACGACUCACCAAGGCGACGAUACAUAGCCGACCUGAGAGGGGGAUCGGCCACACUGGGACUGAGACACGGCCCAGACUCCUACGGGAGGCAGCAGUAGGGAAUCUUCGGCAAUGGACGGAAGUCUGACCGAGCAACGCCGCGUGAGUGAAGAAGGUUUUCGGAUCGUAAAGCUCUGUUGUAAGAGAAGAACGAGUGUGAGAGUGGAAAGUUCACACUGUGACGGUAUCUUACCAGAAAGGGACGGCUAACUACGUG